Long non-coding RNA from Uranotaenia lowii, 503 nucleotides. RefSeq lists it as uncharacterized. The transcript is spliced from 3 exons. NCBI's taxonomy places the organism in Eukaryota, Metazoa, Arthropoda, Insecta, Diptera, Culicidae. The record is from RefSeq and is a predicted model, not a curated record.
AACUCGUCAAAAUUAAGCUUAAGCAAUUGUGCCUCCUGAUGUAUCCGAACAGAAAAACGACAUUUGGUCAAUUUCUCGCUCGUUCGGAGAUAGUAAACCCGGAUUCCGGAAUGCUACAGAGUUGCUUUUAUUAUAGGCCGAAACUUAAGUUGGUUUGUCGGACCAGGACUACCAACAAAUUGAGGGACACAGCUCAUUCCUUCAAUCACGACAGCUAUCGGAUGCCGAAUUAGUGAAUCGGGCUUUGAAGCGAUGCCUUUAUCAGUGGUAGCCCUUCCAGCGGGACGAUAAUUUUAACCUGUUCCCGAGGACAUCAGUUACAAUCAAGAUGUCGCGACCUAACAGUAAUCGGCCUUUGCAUUCCUGGUCCCGCCCUUCCGCAGUUCGUAAAUUUUAAACUAAUGCGAUACCAGACGAUCGUGAUGCAGAUUCCGCUUUUGAAGGAAGAUCUGCCCUACAGGAGAGCGGAAAGCAUAAAGAAAAAAACACAGUGUAUAUGGUGU